CUCUGUGACUCCUACGGGAGGCAGCAGUGGGGAAUAUUGCACAAUGGGCGCAAGCCUGAUGCAGCAACGCCGUGUGAGUGAAGAAGGUUUUCGGAUCGUAAAACUCUGUCCUAAGGGAAGAAACAAAUGACGGUACCUUAGGAGGAAGCCCCGGCUAACUACGUGCCAGCAGCCGCGGUAAUACGUAGGGGGCAAGCGUUAUCCGGAAUCACUGGGCGUAAAGGGUGCGUAGGCGGCUUAGCAAGCCAGGGGUGAAAGGCAUUGGCUCAACCAAUGUAAGCCUUUGGAACUGUUAAGCUUGAGUGCAGGAGAGGUAAGUGGAAUUCCUAGUGUAGAGGUGAAAAUUCGUAGAUAUUAGGAGGAACACCAGUGGCGAAGGCGACUUACUGGACUGUAACUGACGCUGAUGCACGAAAGCGUGGGUAGCGAACAGGAUUAGAUACCCUGGUAG
RNAcentral lists this ribosomal RNA (451 nucleotides) under uncultured bacterium. RNAcentral's name for it is "bacterial SSU rRNA". It matches the Rfam family "Bacterial small subunit ribosomal RNA", at positions 328 to 793 of the family's 1533-position model. The record is from RNAcentral.